UACGAAGGGGGCUAGCGUUGCUCGGAAUCACUGGGCGUAAAGCGCUCGUAGGCGGAUUGUUAAGUCGGGGGUGAAAUCCUGGAGCUCAACUCCAGAACUGCCUUUGAUACUGGCGAUCUCGAGUCCGGGAGAGGUGAGUGGAACUGCGAGUGUAGAGGUGAAAUUCGUAGAUAUUCGCAAGAACACCAGUGGCGAAGGCGGCUCACUGGCCCGGUACUGACGCUGAGGUGCGAAAGCGUGGGGAGCAAACAGG
Molecule: ribosomal RNA, 253 nt
Filed under: uncultured bacterium
Lineage: Bacteria
Description: partial 16S ribosomal RNA
Rfam family: Bacterial small subunit ribosomal RNA
Source: RNAcentral